AGAUGGCACCAGUGCACUCCAGCCUGGGCAACAGAGCAAGACUCCGUCUCAAAAAAAAAAAAUAAUAAAAAUAAAAUAAAAAAUAACUGUAGAAUGUUCCUUCUGACAGCAAGUAUACACAAGCCUUAUCUUUUUAUGAACCGACUUUGUUUUUUCCUUGCACAAAGUACCUAGCUAAUUAAUACCUGUUGUUUUGUUUUGAUGUGAUUAUGCUUCUCUACCGUACUAAUAGUUGACUUAUGUAAGGAGGCUCCCAAUAGACAUAUAAUGUUUGCUGACUGGCUGAAUACAUCUCCUAAAAACUGCUCGUGUGUUCCUGGGUUUCCUUUAACUGUACAACAAGUGGCUGAAUAAAAACAAGAGAUUUUUACUUUUUUUUUUCUUUUAGAGACAGGGGUCUCAUUAUGUUGCUCAGGCUGGACUCAGACUCCUGGGUUCAAGUGAUCCUUCAGCCUCAGCCUCCCAAAUUGGCUGGGAUUACAUCAAGGUUAAAUCACCAUCUUGACCAUAUGAUUUUUAUAUCUUUUACCAGCAAAGUCUUUUUCAGGAUGUAUAAUUUUAGGUAGAACUCAAGAUAUGAAACAGAUAAAGUGGAAGUACUCUGACUGAAGAAGGGAGGGAAGAGUCCAAGAGCUGUACAUUUUAGCGUUCUCUUUCCCUUUCCCUUACUCCCUCGCUCUCUUCUUCUCCUCACCCACUCCCUACCUUCUGCCCCCCACCCUAGAAGUCACUUCAGUUAUCUCCACGGAGAUUUGUUUGUCCAGAGUGUGAAACUCCUUGAAAAGGUAAUCUUUCACUUCCUUUUCUUUUUAGCUCAAAUUUUCCUUGAGUCUAUGCUAGAAAAUAACACAAGCAAACCAUUGCAUCUAAACUGUCUAUUCUGACAACUAUUGUAUUUUCAUUUUUUUCUUUUUAUACAGUACUCAGUAGUUCACACUUUGGUUUUAAUCUUUAUAAUUUACCUUAGAAAGCAUAUUACAUGUACUCUCAGUAAGUUUCACAACAUUCUUUUAUAUAUGAAAAACUGUUAUUGCAAAUAUAAUGGACUCCCAUAUAGAUAUACUCAGUAAAUCCAGAUAUCCAGUACAAUAAAGCUAUAUAUCAUACAGUUUACAAGAGUUAAAUUUUUAAAUCUGUACUGUCUAAACUUUGCUACUAACUUAGGUAGUUACAACUAAGAUAUCCUUUUUCACAAGCAAAUGCCACCUGAGGACACAUUUUGUCACCUUAUCUAUUUCAGGGAAAGAAAAUGUGUUUAAAAAUGGAUGGGAGCUAUAAAAUAAUCAUUAGAAAACUUCUUGUGUAACACAGGUUAAGCCGCUUAUGUAACACAGGUGACUAUAAAUUGUUUCCAUAAUUACCACACUGCAUAAUUUACAACAAAUUUAUUACAUUGACUAUUCUUAUUUUGCUAAAAGCACUACUUCUACAACUUAUGUCUCAAAUCUAAGAACAAAGAACAUAAAGUUUUCUUUUCAAAACAGAAAUUGGCAAUCUACCUGAAAGAUCCUGAAAUUCAGGCUUUUGACUGAAGAUGAGGUAGUUAGUAGCAAUGAAAUGAAGUAGCCAGGUUGAAAGGCAAUCAGAGUGGUGAAACUGCAAGAAAAAUGAAAAGUGAAACAACAUUGCACAUAAUGGCCACCAGUAUGAUGAUUAGAUCAAGAGAACGGCCUGGGAGCAAUCACGGAGAGCCCAUAUUCAUGUUUAAUGUGCCUUUACCUGAUGCAGCUUUCAGUCUACUAUGACAGUAGACAGGAUGAGGGAGCACUAUUAACAGAUAACGUUAAAAGUACAUUCUCGGAAGAAGCCAAACCAACAGCGAAUAACAAUCUAUGGCUGCCGGAGUGGCCAAACAUCUUUAAGCAAUGCAUGGCUGCAUCUGUUUGAGGUUCUUAAAGAUUUAAUUUAAGCUUUUAAUCUAAAGCCACGGACGUCACUAACUGCACCUGUAUCUGUGUAGCAGAUGAUGGUGAGCAAUGUUGAAACAAGUUCACCUGAGGAGCAAGUCAAAACAUAUUUUGGGAAGGAAACACCAUCGGUCGAAGGCAUGGGUUUCAAUGUGUAAAUGUUUCUAAGAGAAAGCUGUGUCUAAAUAUUUGCUUUUAAUGAUAUGUACAGUAAACUGAGCAGGAUUUCCAGCUCCAUUCUCCUCAUUCUGAGUUCCAACAGUUGCUAAUGGAGGGAAAACUCCAAGCAAGCAGGCCACCGACAUCAUCACCUUGGUGUCCAUGUAGUGACACUCACUGAUCCAUCCAACCACCAACGCAGAUGACUUGCUGGCAGGCAACUUUGGUCAACUAUAUCAAGGUUCAUGGAUGCCAGUUCCCUGCUUGGCAUGCUCUGCAGCUGCGUAAUGAUGAACAGCUCACAGAUGUGCUGCAGUCUGGACACCUGGUACAUCUCGGCACAGAUCAGGAGACACAUGGCCUGGAAUAUGCCAGCUGGGUGCUUGACCAGAUUCUCUAAUCAAGGUCUCAGUCUCCAGAACUGAGCUCCAUGGAGCUGAAUCUAGCUGUGCUUGUGAUGGGAGCCAUCUGGUGGCCAAAGGCUGAAGACUACUCACAGAGGACUUCCCUGCCAGCAUCCCAAGCAAGGCUCCAGGCCUGUAGAAAAAAUUUUACUAUUUCUUCAAGUGCCUCCAGCUAGAAGAACCCUGCUGGAUCUGUUCCAACCUAGAGCUGCCACAGAUGUUUGGUUCCUGGUCAAAGAUAGUCCUUGGUCAGUGAAUUUGGAAAUGAAUCCACUGGGCAUUCUAAACAUCUCAAGACAAGUUUUCAGAGAAGUCAGUUUGAGGAGUUUCUGACUUUAGCAGAAGUCAGAAGGAGGCCUUUACAAAUCCUACAUCCUCUGGGCCAAAAAGAAGACCAAAAAAGUCUAGGAAUAUUGAAAGUCCUUAAAAGUGACCCAAUCAGAAGUCACAGCCAUCAUAGCAGUUGCACAACCCUCCUCUUCUUGUGGACGAGACAGUGCUUCAAGUAACAAUCUGCCCCAAUCUCUAGAAUUAGAGUAGCCAUGGGUACCACAAGACACCUUCAUUUCUGGGUGCCUACAGUGAUCCCCACGCUGUAGGUGCUGGCUGGGGCAUGUGAACUUGUGCCGGCAUUGGAGAUCCAUAAAAGGCACCCAAUUACUGCACCUCCACUUGAACUGAAUGAAAAUUCAUUGUUGUUCCAGCACCACCUCUAACUGCUUAGUACAUUCCAUGAUGUCAACUAAUAAAUCUUAAAUGAAAAUAGAUUCCACAGAAUGCAAUUUAACAAAAUGGGUGGCAAGGAAAGAAACAAUUAUAAGAUACUAUCAACAUUUGUAUUGCUAACCUGGGCAGCAGGAGUCUGUGUACAGGUAUUCUAAAAACGACAAGAAAGUCUCUUUGGAAACACCAUAAACGGGAAUCAGGACACUCUUUGCUUCCAUGUAAUUACCAUUAAACAUGGCUGCCAUCACUUCACAACGGGCCACCAGGAUGGCCCUGUGGGCUGGCACUGUCGUACCUGAAAGGUUCAAAAGGGGAACAAGAAACAAGUGAGAUAAACCCGCAGGGUUAUUCCAGCAAUUUUCCUUCUAAUUAGACUACUACAUUAGGGACAGCCAGGCUGAUAUGCUGAAUCUAAAUUUGGGAGUGAUAACUACCAUUAAUCCAGAAACUUCUUAAUUUUAAAGGGAGCAAUAAAGAAAGUUCAGAUGUUGACCUUGAAACCAACAAUUUGCAAGUCAGACAACUAUUUGUCACUUGGUUUGUAUUUCCAGAAAUAGAAACACUGAACUAUUUUGCUUCAUAUUUUUAUAAUGAAACAUCAAUCCUUUCCAAUUGGCUUGAAAUACUAAUAAUACUACCCAUGCCCAUGUGCUUCCCAAGAAAACAACCCCAUUACCCUUCUGGGCCUGACUCACAGAACCGUCUUGGCCACGCUUCCCCUUAUCUGAAAAGGGAAACUGUAAGAAGCAAACCAUAAGCAGUCCACACACCACAGUAGGAAUAGCAAGAGGAUCUCUCGUGGAGCCGAGGACAGCAUUCCAGACUUAAUGAAAAUCUGGAAGAGGAUGACUUUAAUCCCUGCAGUCUCCCCAGCACACUACUUCCCCAGGCAACCAUUCUGUCUCACAGGAUCAAUGCCUGCUGCUGGGAGAGCCAGCGCUAUGUUGAAUUUUGAGGGCCCUCUCAGCCCAUAUUGCUCACUGAACACACUGAACUGAACUGACUCUCUAGGAAAAGCUUGCUAGGCUUUCUAGCUACUGCUGCACCACACAAAGGCAGCGCUGGAUAGGGCCACAGGUGGCCGGGGCUCUCCACUUCCACCACCUUAGGAAACCACGAGUACACACUGCCAGUCUUCAGUUCAGCCUGGAUCACUUCAACAGAUUAUUACUGAGCAUCAGCAUGUGCCAAUCAUUGCAUUUGGAACUGAACAUACAAAGAGGAGGAAGACAAAGCUACCUCCGCUUUGGAGCAGUUUUUACUUUCGUGGAAGACACCACAGCCAGUGUGGGUGACAAAGCUGUCGCAUUCCAGAAAGUAACUCUCCAACCAAACUAAACCACUCAGCCCUGCCCAAGAAUUUAUCUACAUAUCUCUAAAACCUAGUACUUAUCAGGGUUAUAUAGUCUUCUCUAAAGCAUUUACAAUUAUUGGGUUCUUCAACCCUUUUAAAUCCAAGCAAACCAUCUCCUGACUCACGAAAGAAGAAAAAGAGUUACAUCUAAGCCCAGUGGCUUUUUCCAAAGCCAAUAAUCACUCAGGAUCUACAAGCAACACCUGGCACUGCCAGCUUUGAGUCUACUGCUUGGCACUGCGAUUUGCACAGCUACAACUACCCGAGGAGCAGGGAAGGAACUUGUGUAGCCCUCCCACCCAGUCAACACUCACCUCCCGGCAGGCACACUCCCUUCCUCUCCUCACUGUGACAGUGUCCCUCCACCAGGAAGGACCAGUUUCCAUAAUUAAAGCAUGUUGGCUAUAUCUGUAUGCAGCAGUUAAUAAAGAAUACAAACAGGUAAUGCCAUUUGACUUGUAAUUGUAAGGUUUUAAAAUGUUAAAGAUAAAUAGGGCACUAUUUUUUUAAUAAUUAGAAGCAUGACUUCA
Molecule: long non-coding RNA, 5080 nt
Organism: Piliocolobus tephrosceles (Ugandan red Colobus)
Lineage: Eukaryota; Metazoa; Chordata; Mammalia; Primates; Cercopithecidae
Exons: 3
Source: RefSeq, a predicted model, not a curated record